AACACAGUAAAAAGACUGAAGUUUGCCCAUUUCUGCUCAGGAAGUCUCUUUGCUCCUAAGCUUCAUAUGUUGUCCAAUUUGGCUUCAAAAUUUCUGCUAUUAUUACUGUUUCUCCUCCUUUUGAUCUUCCUUUUGUUCCCCAGUGCCAGAAUUUCCAGAGCCUUCUUGCUCAGAUGCCAUCUUUUUGUAUGCCAUUUCGAAGAGCUUCAGUGAUGCCUGCUGAAGAGAGGAUGCUGCUUGUCCAAUGUUUUCUCCCGUUUCGCUAUCUUUUCUAGCCAGAAGCCCCUUCAUUUUGGAAAUCUCUUCUUUUAGCUUUUGCACUUAUCAGCAGCGUGGUGAGGAGAAAGGAAGUGCCAGAUUUAUCCCAUGAUCUGAAAUUCGACCACAUAUGAGCAACUGUAUAUGAGAAAGAGCUACUAAAUAAGACAUUCCGUUUCCUGGUGAGGAAGGAGAGAGUAAUGACCAAACCAUGCUCCUGGUGUUAUAUAUCCAGUCAUUCAACAGGACCUCCCAACUAGAGCAAAAUGGAAAAAGAUAGUCUACCCUGUGUAUACUUUAUCUCAUGAGUGCCAAAAAGUUGAAUGAGUAUCACCAUGAAAAAAAUUGAAUGUGCAUUGCCACACUUAUAUUUGGAUCUAGACAAGAGCCUCAGUAAAUGAAUAAGAAGACGACAUAAAGUAUAAGAAGCAGGAACUCACCGAUCACUCACAUUAUUCUCUAAUUAAAGGUUCAUGCUUACCACACUCACUGAAAGUCCAAGAAUUCAGCCCAUAUUUAUGACAUGCAAGCUUUUAUUCCUAGCUCCAAACCAAACAUCCACAAAGAAACAUAAUACACCAUGUCCCUAAAAGCUGAUGAGUCAUUUAGCAUGCCUACUGAUAAAAGCACAAAAUAGGGAGUGUGGCCUUUUACUUAGUUUGAGAGGUAGGACCGAACCCCAAAUACAGCUACUUAUGUAUUUCCUUAUAGUUGUAUUCACACACACAGACACACAUGGUCAAUCAAACACAACACAAAGCUGGUUAAAAGAAAGUAUAAAAACCUUAGACUAAAACCUUUAGACUCUCUCCCCUCAAACUUUAUUUACU
Molecule: long non-coding RNA, 1088 nt
Organism: Gorilla gorilla gorilla (western lowland gorilla)
Lineage: Eukaryota; Metazoa; Chordata; Mammalia; Primates; Hominidae
Exons: 4
Source: RefSeq, a predicted model, not a curated record